Molecule: ribosomal RNA, 468 nt
Filed under: uncultured bacterium
Lineage: Bacteria
Description: partial 16S ribosomal RNA
Rfam family: Bacterial small subunit ribosomal RNA
Source: RNAcentral
GACGAACGCUGGCGGCGUGCUUAACACAUGCAAGUCGAACGGAAAGGCCCUGCUUUUGUGGGGUGCUCGAGUGGCGAACGUGUGAGUAACACUUGAGUAACCUGCCCUUUACUUUGGGAUAACUUCAGGAAACUGGGGCUAAUACCGGAUAGGAGCUCCUGCUGCAUGGUGGGGGUUGGAAAGUUUCGGCGGUUGGGGAUGGACUCGCGGCUUAUCAGCUUGUUGGUUGGGUAGUGGCUUACCAAGGCUUUGACGGGUAGCCGGCCUGAGAGGGUGACCGGCCACAUUGGGACUGAGAGACGGACCAGACUGCUACGGGAGGCAGUAGUGGGGAAUAUUGCACAAUGGGCCGAAGCCUGAUGAAGCAACGCCGCGUGCGGGAUGACGGCCUUCGAGUUGUAAAAAGGUUCCGCCUGUUACGAAGCGUGAGUGACGGUAAUGGGUAAAGAAGCACCGGCUAACUACGUG